GGGUCACCUCCCACCCGUGUUUAUUUUACCUUGUUGCUUCGGCGGGCCCGCCUUAACUGGCCGCCGGGGGGCUUACGCCCCCGGGCCCGCGCCCGCCGAAGACACCCUCGAACUCUGUCUGAAGAUUGUAGUCUGAGUGAAAAUAUAAAUUAUUUAAAACUUUCAACAACGGAUCUCUUGGUUCCGGCAUCGAUGAAGAACGCAGCGAAAUGCGAUACGUAAUGUGAAUUGCAAAUUCAGUGAAUCAUCGAGUCUUUGAACGCACAUUGCGCCCCCUGGUAUUCCGGGGGGCAUGCCUGUCCGAGCGUCAUUGCUGCCCUCAAGCACGGCUUGUGUGUUGGGCCCCGUCCUCCGAUCCCGGGGGACGGGCCCGAAAGGCAGCGGCGGCACCGCGUCCGGUCCUCGAGCGUAUGGGGCUUUGUCACCCGCUCUGUAGGCCCGGCCGGCGCUUGCCGAUCAACCCAAAUUUUUAUCCAGGUUGACCUCGGAUCAGGUAGGGAUACCCGCUGAACUUAAGCAUAUCAAUAAGCGGAGGA
This 536-nucleotide ribosomal RNA is filed under the name Penicillium chrysogenum. Its description in RNAcentral is "eukaryotic LSU rRNA". The stretch from base 158 to 310 matches the Rfam family "5.8S ribosomal RNA". The record is from RNAcentral. Lineage: Eukaryota; Fungi; Ascomycota; Eurotiomycetes; Eurotiales; Aspergillaceae.